This 302-nucleotide ribosomal RNA is filed under the name uncultured bacterium. RNAcentral's name for it is "partial 16S ribosomal RNA". It matches the Rfam family "Bacterial small subunit ribosomal RNA", at positions 508 to 807 of the family's 1533-position model. The record is from RNAcentral.
GCAGUAGCCACGGUAAAACGUAGGUGGCAAGCGUUGUCCGGAAUUAUUGGGCGUAAAGGGCUCGCAGGCGGUUUCUUAAGUCUGAUGUGAAAGCCCCCGGCUCAACCGGGGAGGGUCAUUGGAAACUGGGAAACUUGAGUGCAGAAGAGGAGAGUGGAAUUCCACGUGUAGCGGUGAAAUGCGUAGAGAUGUGGAGGAACACCAGUGGCGAAGGCGACUCUCUGGUCUGUAACUGACGCUGAGGAGCGAAAGCGUGGGGAGCGAACAGGAUUAGAGACCCCCGUAGUCCCUGUCUCUUAUAC